Molecule: unclassified non-coding RNA, 253 nt
Filed under: Hevea brasiliensis (rubber tree)
Lineage: Eukaryota; Viridiplantae; Streptophyta; Magnoliopsida; Malpighiales; Euphorbiaceae
Source: RNAcentral
CUGAUCAGGUUGUCCGAGACAUCCAAGGGAAAUUUGCUUUUAUUCUAUAUGAUAGCUCUUCAAAAACCACAUUUAUAGCUGCUGAUACUGAUGGAAGUGUACCUUUCUUCUGGGGAGCUGAUUCUGAAGAUAAUCUUGUUCUUUCAGAUGAUGUUCAGAUUGUGCAGCAGACCUGUGGGAAAUCAUUUGCACCAUUCCCUAAAGGAUGCUUCUUUACAACUUCGGGAGGCUUGAGGAGCUUUGAGCACCCUCU